CAGAGAAUAGUUUAAUUAAAAUAUUAGUUUUGGAUAUUGAUGAUGGGUUUGUAAUACUUUUCUCUGA
This 67-nucleotide transfer RNA is filed under the name Brasilocerus sp. 2 DTA-2012. Its description in RNAcentral is "tRNA-Pro". The record is from RNAcentral. Lineage: Eukaryota; Metazoa; Arthropoda; Insecta; Coleoptera; Phengodidae.